Molecule: ribosomal RNA, 627 nt
Filed under: uncultured bacterium
Lineage: Bacteria
Description: bacterial SSU rRNA
Rfam family: Bacterial small subunit ribosomal RNA
Source: RNAcentral
GAACGGGUGAGUAACACGUGGGCAACCUGCCCAAAAGAGGGGGAUAACACUUGGAAACAGGUGCUAAUACCGCAUAACCAUAGUUACCGCAUGGUAACUAUGUAAAAGGUGGCUAUGCUACCGCUUUUGGAUGGGCCCGCGGCGCAUUAGCUAGUUGGUGGGGUAAAGGCUUACCAAGGCAAUGAUGCGUAGCCGAACUGAGAGGUUGAUCGGCCACAUUGGGACUGAGACACGGCCCAAACUCCUACGGGAGGCAGCAGUAGGGAAUCUUCCACAAUGGGCGAAAGCCUGAUGGAGCAACGCCGCGUGGGUGAAGAAGGUCUUCGGAUCGUAAAACCCUGUUGUUAGAGAAGAAAGUGCGUGAGAGUAACUGUUCACGUAUCGACGGUAUCUAACCAGAAAGCCACGGCUAACUACGUGCCAGCAGCCGCGGUAAUACGUAGGUGGCAAGCGUUAUCCGGAUUUAUUGGGCGUAAAGGGAACGCAGGCGGUCUUUUAAGUCUGAUGUGAAAGCCUUCGGCUUAACCGGAGUAGUGCAUUGGAAACUGGGAGACUUGAGUGCAGAAGAGGAGAGUGGAACUCCAUGUGUAGCGGUGAAAUGCGUAGAUAUAUGGAAGAACACCAGUG